GCGCCCGUAGCUCAGUUGGAUAGAGUGCCUGACUACGAAUCAGGAGGCCAUAGGUUCGAAUCCUGUCGGGCGCACCA
Molecule: transfer RNA, 77 nt
Filed under: Bacillota bacterium
Lineage: Bacteria; Bacillati; Bacillota
Description: Firmicutes bacterium (anaerobic digester metagenome) tRNA-Arg
Rfam family: tRNA
About the family: Transfer RNA (tRNA) molecules are approximately 80 nucleotides in length. Their secondary structure includes four short double-helical elements and three loops (D, anti-codon, and T loops).
Source: RNAcentral